RNAcentral lists this non-coding RNA (23 nucleotides) under Arabidopsis thaliana (thale cress). The record is from RNAcentral. Lineage: Eukaryota; Viridiplantae; Streptophyta; Magnoliopsida; Brassicales; Brassicaceae.
CCCAACUGGAUCCUACCCGAACC